AACAAACUAACAACCAUUUCCAAAUUGUUACAAUGUUGUAAACUUUUAAGACCCGGAGACCGGAGUAAUCAGAUCGAUGGACGAUGGUUCUGUUGGAUUUAUGUAAAAGCUGGUCGAGGAUUCCACCGUCCUGGUCGAGUUUACAAAAUACC
This 152-nucleotide small RNA is filed under the name Arabidopsis thaliana (thale cress). Its description in RNAcentral is "ATSL019340". The record is from RNAcentral. Lineage: Eukaryota; Viridiplantae; Streptophyta; Magnoliopsida; Brassicales; Brassicaceae.